RNAcentral lists this small RNA (126 nucleotides) under Vibrio gallaecicus. RNAcentral describes it as "Gammaprotebacteria rimP leader". It matches the Rfam family "Gammaprotebacteria rimP leader". The record is from RNAcentral. Lineage: Bacteria; Pseudomonadati; Pseudomonadota; Gammaproteobacteria; Vibrionales; Vibrionaceae.
CUUAACGAAUCAGGGUCCAGCAACAAAAACCCCGGCUUAUACGGGGUUUUUUGUUAUCUAAGCAUUUAUAAAUGCAUUUAGGUAAUGUUUGCUUGGAAUUUAAAUUGGGCUUUGAGCCCUUUUUUU